Molecule: small RNA, 159 nt
Filed under: Staphylococcus massiliensis S46
Lineage: Bacteria; Bacillati; Bacillota; Bacilli; Caryophanales; Staphylococcaceae
Description: RNA S.aureus Orsay G
Rfam family: RNA S.aureus Orsay G
Source: Rfam by way of RNAcentral
CUAGGGGAAGGCAUUAUUAAACUUCAAACAAAGGGGUAGCUAUAAUAGUGUUAUAGCAUGAUUGAGUUUGUACUUGUGCUAAAUUCUAGUUUUAACAUCUUCAAUAUUUAUUACUUACUUUCCUUUCUAGCCGACUAGUAGUAUCUAGUCGGUUUUUUU